CCUACGGGUGGCAGCAGUGGGGAAUAUUGCACAAUGGGGGAAACCCUGAUGCAGCGACGCCGCGUGAGUGAAGAAGUAUCUCGGUACGUAAAGCUCUAUCAGCAGGGAAGAAAAUGACGGUACCUGACUAAGAAGCCCCGGCUAACUACGGGCCAGCAGCCGCGGUAAUACGUCGGGGGCAAGCGUUCUCCGGAUUUACUGGGUGUAAAGGGAGCGUAGAUGGCAGCACAAGUCUGGAGUGAAAUCCCGGGGCUUAACCCCGGAACUGCUUUGGAAACUGGGCGGCUGGAGUGCAGGAGGGGUGAGCGGAAUUGCUGGUGUAGGGGUGAAAUGCGUAGAUAUUAGGAGGAACACCAGUGGCGAAGGCGACUAACUGGACUGUAACUGACGUUGAGGAGCGAAAGCGUGGGGAGCAAACAGGAUUAGAUACCCUGGUAGUC
Molecule: ribosomal RNA, 440 nt
Filed under: uncultured bacterium
Lineage: Bacteria
Description: partial 16S ribosomal RNA
Rfam family: Bacterial small subunit ribosomal RNA
Source: RNAcentral